This 386-nucleotide ribosomal RNA is filed under the name Bacteroidota bacterium. Its description in RNAcentral is "bacterial SSU rRNA". It matches the Rfam family "Bacterial small subunit ribosomal RNA", at positions 534 to 917 of the family's 1533-position model. Lineage: Bacteria; Pseudomonadati; Bacteroidota. The record is from RNAcentral.
GCGAGCGUUAUCCGGAAUCACUGGGUUUAAAGGGUGCGUAGGCGGAUUAGCAAGUCAGAGCAGAGGUGAAAGCUCUCAGCUUAACUGAGGAACUGCCUUUGAAACUGCUAGUCUUGAAAUAUGGUGAGGUUGGCGGAAUGAGUCAUGUAGCGGUGAAAUGCAUAGAUAUGACUUAGAACACCGAUUGCGAAGGCAGCUGACUGGCCAUUAUUUGACGCUGAGGCACGAAAGCGUGGGGAGCGAACAGGAUUAGAUACCCUGGUAGUCCACGCCCUAAACGAUGUAUACUCGACGUUUGGAUUUAUUUCUGGGCGUCCAAGGGAAACCGUUAAGUAUACCACCUGGGGAGUACGUCGGCAACGAUGAAACUCAAAGGAAUUGACGGA